RNAcentral lists this ribosomal RNA (3034 nucleotides) under Scedosporium aurantiacum. RNAcentral's name for it is "eukaryotic LSU rRNA". The stretch from base 363 to 3034 matches the Rfam family "Eukaryotic large subunit ribosomal RNA", at positions 1 to 2278 of the family's 3401-position model. The record is from RNAcentral. Lineage: Eukaryota; Fungi; Ascomycota; Sordariomycetes; Microascales; Microascaceae.
AAAACUUUCAACAACGGAUCUCUUGGUUCUGGCAUCGAUGAAGAACGCAGCGAAAUGCGAUAAGUAAUGUGAAUUGCAGAAUUCAGUGAAUCAUCGAAUCUUUGAACGCACAUUGCGCCCGGCAGUAAUCUGCCGGGCAUGCCUGUCCGAGCGUCAUUUCAACCCUCGAACCUCUGUUUCCCAGCGAAGCUCAGGGUCGGCGUUGGGGCGCUACGGCGAGUCUUCGCGACCCCGUAGGCCCUGAAAUACAGUGGCGGUCCCGCCGCGGUUGCCUUCUGCGUAGUAAAAGUCUUCUUUUGCAAGCUUCGCAUUGGGUCCCGGCGGAGGCCUGCCGUCAAACCACAUUAUAACUUAAGAUGGUUUGACCUCGGAUCAGGUAGGGUUACCCGCUGAACUUAAGCAUAUCAAUAAGCGGAGGAAAAGAAACCAACAGGGAUUGCCUCAGUAACGGCGAGUGAAGCGGCAACAGCUCAAAUUUGAAAUCUGGCAGCCUCCGGGCGGUCCGAGUUGUAAUUUGAAGAGGAUGCUUUUGGCGAGGCGCCUUCCGAGUGCCCUGGAACGGGACGCCACAGAGGGUGAGAGCCCCGUAUGGUUGGACGCCGAGCCUCUGUAAAGCUCCUUCGACGAGUCGAGUAGUUUGGGAAUGCUGCUCAAAAUGGGAGGUAAACCCCUUCUAAAGCUAAAUACUGGCCAGAGACCGAUAGCGCACAAGUAGAGUGAUCGAAAGAUGAAAAGCACUUUGAAAAGAGAGUUAAAUAGCACGUGAAAUUGUUGAAAGGGAAGCGCUUGCGACCAGACUUGUGCCCGUCGAAUCAGCCGCCGCUCGUCGGCGGCGCACUUCGGCGGGCUCAGGCCAGCAUCAGUUCGCUGCAGGGGGAGAAAGGCGGUGGGAAUGUGGCUCUUCGGAGUGUUAUAGCCCGCCGCGCAAUACCCCUCGGCGGACUGAGGACCGCGCAUCUGCAAGGAUGCUGGCGUAAUGGUCGUCAGCGACCCGUCUUGAAACACGGACCAAGGAGUCGUCCUAAUAUGCGAGUGUUCGGGUGUAAAACCCCUGCGCGUAAUGAAAGUGAACGGAGGUGAGAGCUUCGGCGCAUCAUCGACCGAUCCUGAUGUUCUCGGAUGGAUUUGAGUAAGAGCAUAUUGGGCCGGACCCGAAAGAAGGUGAACUAUGCCUGUAUAGGGUAAAGCCAGAGGAAACUCUGGUGGAGGCUCGCAGCGGUUCUGACGUGCAAAUCGAUCGUCAAAUAUGGGCAUGGGGGCGAAAGACUAAUCGAACCUUCUAGUAGCUGGUUUCCGCCGAAGUUUCCCUCAGGAUAGCAGUGUUGAAUUUCUCAGUUUUAUGAGGUAAAGCGAAUGAUUAGGGACUCGGGGGCGCUAUUAAGCCUUCAUCCAUUCUCAAACUUUAAAUAUGUAAGAAGCCCUUGUUACUUAACUGAACGUGGGCAUUCGAAUGUAUCAACACUAGUGGGCCAUUUUUGGUAAGCAGAACUGGCGAUGCGGGAUGAACCGAUCGCGGGGAUAAGGUGCCGGAGUGGACGCUCAUCAGACACCACAAAAGGUGUUAUCACAUCUUGACAGCAGGACGGUGGCCAUGGAAGUCGGAAUCCGCUAAGGACUGUGUAACAACUCACCUGCCGAAUGUGAUAGCCCUGAAAAUGGAUGGCGCUCAAGCGUCCCACCCAUACCCCGCCCUCAGGGUAGACACUAUGCCCUGAGGAGUAGGCGGACGUGGAGGUCAGUGACGAAGCCUAGGGCGUGAGCCCGGGUCGAACGGCCUCUAGUGCAGAUCUUGGUGGUAGUAGCAAAUACUUCAAUGAGAUCUUGAAGGACCGAAGUGGGGAAAGGUUCCAUAUGAACAGCGGUUGGAUAUGGGUAAGCCGAUCCUAAGCCAUAGGGAAGUUCCGUUUCAAAGGGGCACUAAUCGCCCCGUAUGGCGAAAGGGAAGCCGGUCAAUAUUCCGGCGCCUGGAUGUGGGUUUUACGCGGCAACGCAAACGAAAGCGGAGACGAGGGCGGGGGCCCUGGGUAGAGUUCUCUUUUCUUCUUAACGGCCUAGUGACCCUGGAAUCGGUUUGUCCGGAGAUAGGGUUCAACGGCCGGAAGAGCCCAGCACUUCUGCUGGGUCCGGUGCGCUCCCGACCUCCCUUGAAAAUCCGCUGGAGGGAAUAAUUCUCACGCCAGUUCGUACUCAUAACCGCAGCAGGUCUCCAAGGUGAACAGCCUCUGGUUGAUAGAACAACGUAGAUAAGGGAAGUCGGCAAAAUAGAUCCGUAACUUCGGGAAAAGGAUUGGCUCUAAGGGUUGGGCACGUUGGGCUUCUGGCGGACGCCCCGGGAGCAGACGGCCACUAGCCGGGCAACCGGCCGGGGGCUGUCAGCAUCUGGGCGCGGAAGCCUUUAGCAGGCCUUCGGGCCGUCCGGCGUGCAGUUAACAACCAACUUAGAACUGGUGCGGACAGGGGGAAUCUGACUGUCUAAUUAAAACAUAGCAUUGCGAUGGCCAGAAAGUGGUGUUGACGCAAUGUGAUUUCUGCCCAGUGCUCUGAAUGUCAAAGUGAAGAAAUUCAACCAAGCGCGGGUAAACGGCGGGAGUAACUAUGACUCAACGUGCAGCUCCGGAACGGAAACGCACAGCGUUGCCUGUAGUGGAAGAAACAACAGCAACUUAAGAGGGUCAAGCAGCGUAAAAGGCGACUGCUAGUGGACCGCGGGCCUGCUGGGGAGGCCCGCGGAUUCCGCGACACUGUCAAAUUGCGGGGAGUUCCUAAAGCCUCUUGCUACCGCGGCCCGCCGAAAGGUAGGGUGCAGCACCAGGGUAAUGACCUCGGGGAUGGUAAAAACGCAGAGGAUGCUAACAAUGGAUGAUCCGCAGCCAAGUCCUACGUCCCAGGGGGCCCCCGACACUUCGUUUUGCUCGGAGGGGGCCAGGCACCGGGAUAGGGAUGCAGUUCAACGACUAGACGGCAGUGGGUCCGAGGGGGGCGAGCAAGCGUCCCACCCGUGCUGGGUGGGAGCCCCCCGCUGAACGGGCUUAAG